GAAAAGCCUUUUGAUUGACUAUCUCGAUAUCGAGAUGUAUGACCAUGAAAUAUAAAAAGAUUUUAAUUCUCAUAAAUAGUACAUUUUACAACAUAUUAUCUACACUGUCUAUUUUCAAGAUUUUCAUAUGUUUAUAGAUCUACUUGAUUGACUUUAACCAUUUUUAAAAUUUAAAAUUUUAUAAUUAGAUGUGAAAAUAUAUUUUGAGAUAAUUCUAAGAACAUUUUACAUCAAACUUAUAUACCAUGAUAAAAUUU
RNAcentral lists this long non-coding RNA (257 nucleotides) under Amborella trichopoda. Its description in RNAcentral is "long non-coding RNA (ATRI_LNC002872)". The record is from RNAcentral. Lineage: Eukaryota; Viridiplantae; Streptophyta; Magnoliopsida; Amborellales; Amborellaceae.